CACCUCUCCAAAAUCUGAAGGAAAUUCAGACUUCUUUGCCCAAAACCUGAAUAGAAUCUCAGAUUUUCUCUUGGGAGGAGAGAGGUUUCAAGCUCCACACCUCUUCUCUUAAAUUCUAAAAACAGCCUCAGAUUUCCACAAAAA
Dendrobium catenatum is the source of this 144-nucleotide long non-coding RNA. RefSeq lists it as uncharacterized. NCBI's taxonomy places the organism in Eukaryota, Viridiplantae, Streptophyta, Magnoliopsida, Asparagales, Orchidaceae. The transcript is spliced from 2 exons. The record is from RefSeq and is a predicted model, not a curated record.